Spodoptera frugiperda (fall armyworm) is the source of this 12997-nucleotide long non-coding RNA. RefSeq lists it as uncharacterized. The record is from RefSeq and is a predicted model, not a curated record. NCBI's taxonomy places the organism in Eukaryota, Metazoa, Arthropoda, Insecta, Lepidoptera, Noctuidae. The transcript has 3 exons.
UUGGUCCGAUGAAAGGGGUCGUGUUUUAUUCUCUGACGAAAGCCGAUUUCAUCGACGGUAGGGAAAGGAUGUGGAGGUAUCGGGGAGAACGGUACCAUCAAGCCAAUUUUACUGAAACGGUGUCAUAUGGAGGAGGGUCCGUUAUGGUGUGGGGUGGCAUUACUUUAACAGCCCGCACAGCAUUGGUCAUAAUUGAUGGCGGUUCUCAGACUGCACAAAAGUACAUUACCGAGAUCCUGGAACUCCAUUUAAUGCCUUUUGCCCAACUUAGAGGGCCAGAUUUUGUGCUUAUAUGCACGAUAACACACGGCCGCGCAGUGCUCACGUGGUUCGCGAUUAUUUAAAUGUUAUUGGAAUUACCCAAAUGGACUGGCAAGCACGAUCCCCGGACCUGAACCCAAUAGAGCAUGUCUGGGACAUGAUUGGACGGAAAGUACGGAUACGGUUUUUAUGCUACUGGUACUAUCAGAGCCAACAGAGUCGAGAACUGCCCGCUAAAAGAUAUUCAGCAAUUCAAACGGGAAGAACGCGGCUUUAGUGACUACAGGAUGUCCGACGAUGUGUUUGUUUGUCGCUGGAAUGACAAUAAUGUGGUAACGGUAGCCACAAACUUUGAAAAUUGGAGCUUGACCUCGGCUACUCGCUGGUCAAAUGAAAAGAAAGCAAAAGUUGCUAUCCCCCAGCCGUCAUUGAUAGCAAGCUAUAACAAACAUAUGGGAGGUGUAGAUAAAUGCGAUCAAGCAGUUGCCAAUCUUCGCACCAGAAUGCGCAUAAGAAAAUGGUGGUGGCCCAUUUUUGCCUAUUUCAUAGAUGUGUCAGUAGUCAGGUUGGUUGCUGGCAAGGAAAAAUGGUUGCAACAAAGAAACGGACUCUUUGUUGUCUUUUCGCAGGUAUGUAGGUUGGAGUCUGCUAAUACAGCAUGGAACACCAUCACACCAAGGCCUCAAGCCAGCCAAACCCAUGAUCUCUGCAAGAUAUGACGGAAGAGACCAUUGGAUUACACCUAUAAACACAGAACGUCGCUGUGGCAACCAGUGUGGUGGCAAAGCAAAGUUUAUUUGCAUAAAAUGUGACAAAGGCCUGCAUCCUAAGGCGCUGGACACACAGAAAAGACGUAAGACGCAGACGGGGCGCGGACAUUUGUCUCUUCCACGUCCCUUUCAUAUAAAAUGUAUAGAAGCGUCGUGACGCAAAACAUACAGAAUAGACGGGGCGCGGGCGCAACGCUUUUACGUCUGCGCCUUUUGUUCAAAACACACAGGAGAGACGGGGCACGGACGCGGCGGGGGCGAAGACGGGGCGCGGGGUGGCAUGCCCGCCGGGAGGGGCUCGCUCGCGUCGCACAGUCACGUGUACCGUCUUGACGUUGAAUGGUUGCGUCAUGUUUUGAGUUGUUAUAAUUUUUUUCAUAAAAAUGCGUGACGACCUAGCUUUUAAUAUUCAGUUUUGUGAAUUAAUUGAGAAUCAUUCUGUUAUUUAUGAUUACAAUAGGUCUGACUAUUGUAACAGAAAUGUUCAAGACCAAGCUUGGGAAUCGAUUGCCAGGACAAUAAACGAAAACGUACAAGCUUGCAAAGAUCGUUGGAAAAACAUAAGGAACAGAUAUGCAAAAUACAAAAAACUUCUAUCACUUCCAUCUGGCUCUGCAGCCAAGAAGGUAAAAGAAUAUUACCUUGCCCAGCACUUGCAUUUUUUGGAUAAAUAUUUGAAAUCAAGACCUUCCAAAUCUAAUCUAGAACCACAAUGCAGGUCAGAUACUCAUACGGACGAAAGUGAACUUGAUGAGAAGGAGUCAAUGUCGCCGUUUCGGCCUCCGUCCCAUUCACCCUCUCCACAGGCUCAAAAUCAUCCUUCGCCGUUAUCAUCGGACUCGAGUAAAAAAGUAAAAUGCCUACUUUGAAAGACGUCAAUCAAUCUGCUUUUGAUUACUUUAACAGAAAACGACAAAAUAGCGAGAAACAAAUGCAACCUCUUGAUACAGAUCUUGCCUUCCUUCAAAGCAUGUUGUCUGAUAUGAAGGCCAUGAAUCUUGUUCAAAAACGAAGGUUCAAGAUGAAGGGAGUAAUGCAGUUGGAGGCGCAAAUCUUAGAUGGAAACGAGGCAGCAUCGACAUCAGAACCAGCAUAUUCUACCCGCAUUUCUCAAAACAACAUAGCCACGGUGUCUUCUAUACAACAGCCGUUUCAUAAUGUUGCACCUCCAUUAACAAUAGAGCAAAAUCAGAAUGUUGCAUCUCCAUCAAUAUCUGUGCAGGAUGAGAAUACCCCAACGUUUUUCACUCUAUCACCCUAUUCAACAAUUAGUUCAGUUUUGGCUGCACACGUCACCAAUACAUCUUUUUUGAAUGAAGAAUUACCUCUGAACUACACGUACAAUUUUUCUACACCAAAGUAAUCCAUCGGAUUACUUUAGUGUAGAAAAAUUAUACACAUCAACAUCGGUUUGAGCGUGCACAUAUUUCAAAAGUUAAUUAAACCUUAUUAUGUAACACAAUUUUCUGUUAGUAUUAAAGUAAUUAAAAAAGAUAAUGUAUUUCACUUACCUUAACGUUAUAAGUAAUCUUUCUUCAGCACUAAUAGAUACUCUCCAAUUUGUGUGCUUUCUCUGUAAAGCAUUUCUCACUUUGGACAUGAUAAUAUUAAAACACUGUGGAGUCAUUUUAUACACUGUGACAAAACGAUCUGGGUAAUUGUGUAGGUCCUCCAUUAUUUUAAAAAAUCGAUUGUCUUCAUUGCUUAGCCAUACCGGAUGUACCCAGUAACGUCUAACCCUCUGUAUAUUAGCGAGAUUUACCAGUGCUAGCACAUCUUCAUCUUCAGAAGAAGACAUGUCGACGUGACAAAAUCAGACUGUUGAAUGCCGAAAAUAGUCCUGACUGCGCGACUGCGUCGCGUCCGCGCCCCGUCUCUUCUAUAUAACUUCAAAAGUCGCGUCCGUGUCUCGUCUCCGCCCUGUCCGCGACGCGUCCUCGUCUUACGUCUCUUCUGUCUGGCCUGCGCCUAAGUGCUUUAUGAAAUACCAUACUAAUGGUAAAUUGUCAUAAUUUACAGAUACAUGUUUUUUUUUAUUUUUCUAAUAAAUCAAUCCAAAUAUCUGUCUUUUUUAUUUGAAUUAAUUUAGUUUAUCUUAAGUAGUACGUGGGACCACUAUGCAUAGCGUCCGAUUUAUCGGACGGGUACUUAAAUCAAGGAGAUAUAAAUAACUUGUAUUUUUUAUAGCUAGGGCAUUUAUGGGGCCCUAAAUAAUAAUUAAAAUAUAAAAUAAUCAAAUUUUAUGCGGUAAUAAAAUUUAUGCACUAAUGGAUUAAGAACGAGCUAACGAAACUGCAAGAAAAAAAUAUAUCGACUACAAAAACACGGAACGGAUCAAAAAAAGAAGUUUGAGACUGAAUUACUAAAAAUGAAAGGCAGAAAUUUCUUCGAGGAUUUCAAUCCUCGAAGCAUCUUUGGAGAUAACUUACAAAAAUUGUGUAAAUAAUAAAGAAAGAUACCUGAUAAAGAAAAUUGCAAAUAAUAAUUUGGUGCUAAAUAGUAAAGCACAGACGUCUGUUUCGAAACAAAUUGGUAUACGGUGUAGAAAGAAAAAAUCUGUUAAAUGCAUAAUAUCAAAAUUCAACCUUCUUCUUCCGGAUCAACGCUAUCAUCGCUACAUUAGCAGGUAAAGCUCGUAGUCUCAUAGAAAACGUGGACACAAACACGGUUGAACGCUUCAACAGUGUUAUUGCCAAAUAUAUAGGUGGUAAAAUAAUAAAUUAUUCAUUGAGACGGGGCUAUCAAGGACGAUGUUCAGUUUGUUGGUUUCAAUUAACAGCGAAUCUGCCGUUUCCUCCGUCCAAAGAGCCAUUCUUGGAAGCAGUCCUAGUGGACAGGUGAAAAAAAUCGAGAGCAGAAGUUCUCUUUAACGAAAGCUGAAUAGAGACCAACCCAAUAAGUUUAUGAAGGAAGACCCCUAUGGAAUCAUGAGCAUCGACGAAUCAGGCAGCUUGGUGAAGCAAAUAACGAAACUCAAAGCUCAUACAUCAGCAUAACGAAACCCAAAACUCAAUGCUCAAAGAGCAUUGUUUACCUCUAGCAAGCUGUUUGUUUAUAUAAAAAAAAAAAUAUUGCCAGUAUUCCAAAUGGUAUCGGAGAAGCACGACACAAACACCUUGACAUAUUGGAUUCGAGAGUGGAUUCGUUCUGGCGGGUCGCGUCCGAAACAAGUAGUAAUAGACUACUCACCGGCACUUCUGAACGCUACUUGUCUCGCGUUUAACAACACUGAUUUGAAGACAUAUAUAGAAACAUGUAUUGUCUUUGACAAAAACGGUUGGUCUGUGCGGUUGAACCGUACACGUUGUAAUAUUCGUAUCGAUAUUUCGCACUUUAUACACAUGAUGGCGCGUGGGAGCUGCUUUAAACGCGAGAGUCCAGAAAAGAAAGACUUCUUCUACCGUUGCGCGGGUUUGCUAACCACAUGUACGGAAAUAAACGAUUUUAUUCGGUUGUGUAUCGACGUACUAACGAUCGCUUUUGUCACGCAUGAAGACAUUGAAGACAAAAACAGUCAUUGUUUCGCAGCACAGAAUCGAGUUUUAAAGCUCUUGAAAUCGUAUAGUCUUCCCGAUAAUGCUGACAAACUCGACAAUGGUCAGGACGAAGAAGAAAGAUUGUUGCAACGAUUUGACGACGUAUUAAAUUUAAUUACACAAUUGUUAUAGCGCGGCGCAAGUCGUUGCUCGUCAUUUUUAUUGCCAUGAGUGAACAACUUGUGGCGAAUGAACUGCUGGCGUUCCUGCAGCAAAAGCUGGACGUGAUGGAUGAGGUGUCCGCUGUCCAGAUCUGCGCAUCGAACUUCAGCGAACCUGACGUCGCUGCUUCCAAGCAGCAAAUAUAUUUGGAUCCGCGCAGCUAGAUUAUUGAGCGACGUGGCCUGACUGUGGACCAGUACAGCUAACCGCCUGCGUCUACCGGCUACAGUCGAUUACGACUGGGACACUAACGCUGAUUGGCUUGACAGCUUAGUAACGAUCUCGUUGCUUGCUUCAGAUGGCGCAGGGAGCAGGUUACACGACGCUAGGGGAGUUGCUUGACGAAAGUGGAGAGACCGAACAGGAUGAGGCGAUAUUGGAGCGUGUCAAACACUUGGCGCAAGAGUCUCUACCCAAGGGCUGGACAGGAUGGGAAGUUGUCAACGCCUCAAAAGAAGAGAUUUUCGGGGAGAAACCUGAAACUAAUGUUUUAAACAAACUAGUGUUUGCCCUCCCCACAGUCGGCUUAAUGCGAGCUUUUGACCCGGAGGCAGAUCAUCUAUCAGAAAAGAGCUAUCGUGAAAUAAGGUGCAAAUUACUAGAUUGGGUCUUUACACGCUCCCUCAUAUUGGGCCCACCCUCGAUUGCAAACGGAAUUAGGGGAUCAGCGGCUCGCACCGAGCUCUUCAAGCAAUCCUUGGGGGAAUGACGGCCUUCGCUGCAUAUCCAGUACGAGGCCAAUACUAUUCUUUCGGGCAGUCUUUCUGAGUCCGAAAAAUCCACACGUGAGAGGAGAAGUUGCUCAUCUGCGUAUGAUGUUACCCAAUCACAGAAGCGAAGACAAACAUCACCCGUGCCCUCAACAUCACAAGACAACAGGAUCGAGAGGUUGGAGAAGAAAAUGGACAGCACGUUUUCACUCCUCUUAGAAAGGAUUGGCAUGCAUCAACAGCAGCCAACCAGUCUGGCUCAGACUAUUCAACUAGACUCGAAUAGAGAUGGGUAACUCAGGAAUGAUAGAUAAAAAUGAUAUGUAUCAAUCCAUUCUGUUCACUCACUCUUCAUAUCAGUUCAAAUCCGAAUAUAUCAGUAUAUCAUCGUCGUCCUUUUUUAUCUGUGUCGCAGUCGCGCGAGCGGCUCACGACUGGCGAAUGGCGACACGGUGUCUCUUCGUAAAGUUCAGACAUCUCUUUCACACUUCCCUAUUUAUUAUGUUCUGUCCUGCUUUCGCAAGACCGAGAAUAUUAUUUGACCAUUAUAAACUGAUAUACGUCGGUACAAUAAGAAAAAGGAACGACUCUAUAACGAGUGCGUAAGGUUUAAAGUCGUAAAGCGGUACGUGACCAUUUCAAGCAUUAUACUGGUUUCGUUUUGAAAAGCAAUUUUUGAAAAUAAUGCAAACUAAUUUCGGUCAUAAAGUUAUCGAAAUUAGGAUCAACAUAGAAAAAAAAGUAAAUAAACAAUAUACUUGCGAUUUACAGAAUAUUAUUUUGAUUUAUUUAGUUCAAGCUUGACCUUCGUCCGCGUCAAGGGAUCGGGAGUGAUAGAUACCUACCUAUUGUAAACUAUUGUUUUCGUUGCAUUGAAGAGAGAGUUUUAAAUUCUUGUCAGCAGUCAGAGUCUUGAACAGCAAGUGACUAUUUAAUUUAAAUAUAGGUAAUUAAGACGUUUAGUGUAAGUGAAUAGUUUUAGUGUAAUAGGUAUAAGUAGUGUUUUUUAUUGGAUAGUUAGGUAUUUUAGUUUAAGUGUAAAUAAUUUGUACAGUUUUAAAUAUUAACGAAAAAAUGUCAGGUUCACGAAAACGCAGUGCAGUGUGGAAUCACUUUGAGGAAGUGGAACCCAAAAAAGCAAAAUGCCUUUAUUGUGCGAACAUUUUAAAUUUACCCGCUGGAAAUUGUGGUAACCUGGCUAGACAUUUAAAAAGUAAACAUCCCACUGUACCACUAAACUUGUUCCUGACAGGCAACCAACGGCAACGCAGCCGAUAACUGAAGCCCCGCAGGUACCACUUGCCCCAACGUCAACAGCGGCAGAAUUUCCAACAUCCAACGCCCCUGCCCUCGGCACAUCCUCCGUGGGGUUACCUCCUCUUCAGCCAUCCAUUAGAGACUAUGCGCACAGUACCAAAUCCAUGCCGCCUCGGCGGCAAGUAAUAGCUCGGAGUUUGAUCAACGGUUUUACGGCCAGGCAACGAGAUGCUCCUAGUUCAAAAACUAAUGCGGUACGAAGAGCUAUAAAACGGCAAAUGACUUCACAUCCUAUGGAAAAAGUGAAUAACAGAAAACGGUGUGUAAAUUGUGCUAAGUUCAAGCGAGAAAUUCGUACAAAUAAUACAUGUACUGUAUGCAAACUUCAUCUCUGUUACACUAAUGACAGAAAUUGUUUCAAUGAUUAUCAUCAAUAAUAUAAUACAAUAAUCAAAAUUAUAAAUAUGUUGUUUGUUUUACUGAAACUCUUUAAUUAUGAAUAAAUCUAAGAGACGUAAUUACACGCUAAUUAAGUAAAAACGUCCCUUGACGUCCAUAGGGACAAAUAUGUCCCAAAAAAAAUCUAAAAAUCUAUUAUUGUUAUUUACAUAAUCACGGGACCACAGGGUCCCGGGCCUUUGGAAGGCGUACGAGGGGCCGAAGCCAACUCGCAGAGGCCCGUUGAACAAUUUUAAUCUAAAUGUAAGGGGACAUCUAUUAUUUUCUUUCCAAAAUACGUUUAUUACAUGCCUCAUGAGUCAUGUUAAGCAAUCAGAAUGAUUACUUUACCUCCUAUAAUGUUAUGGUCCUGAGAGGGUUAAGAAACAGUUACUUCCAUGGAAAACGACAUAUAGGUCAGUUGAUUUUAUCAAAUCUUCAGUUAUUUAUUAAUCUGCUUGAUCUUUACUAUGGCUAUGUUAAUUCAAGCUCACAAUGUUCCAAUUCUAAUACGUUUUUCUAAGAUUUAAAGUAAACUUUAAUAAAUAGUAAUAGACUAAUAGGUAAUUGCAAGACUUGCAAGACUCUUGCUGCAAGACCAAGACCAAGACCAGGUGUAUUGGCGCAAGACCAAGACCAAGACUGGCUAAGUCUCGUCUUGUUUUUGCAUUUGGGCAACACUAAAAAUUUGUAUGAGAUUCAUCAAACAUGUAUAAAUACAGUAUUGGAUUACUUUUAUAACUUUUUUUCACCUGAUAUUAUUGGUGAUAUCGUUCAUAGCACUAAUUUAUACGCAGUGCAACAACUAGGGCGAUCUAUUCAGUUGACAGAAGACGAGAUUAAAAACUUUUUAGCCAUUCAUAUCAUGAUGGGUAUAGUACAGAUGCCGGCUUACACUGAUUAUUGGGCUAAGAGAACCAGAUACCCUCUAAUUGCUGACCUAAUACCUCUCAAAAGGUAUCAACAAAUACGUCGAUACAUACAUUUUGCAGAUAACACCUUGGAAGACUCGGACCGCUAUUUCAAAACUCGUCCUAUAAUGGAAAAAAUACGACAAACAUUUCUGCAAGUUGAAGAAGAAGGAAAAUACUCAAUCGACGAGAUGAUGAUACCUUAUAAAGGUCGUAAAGCGGGUAAAAGAAAGCAAUACGUAAAGAUGAAACCUAAAAAAUGGGGGUUUAAAAAUUUUGUGCGUGCGGGCGUCUCGGGUAUUAUUUAUGAUUUUCUUUUGUAUGGUGGUGACGAUACCUUUCGUGGACUGGUUCUUACAGAAAAAGAAGCUACAAUUGGUUUGGGAGGUAUGGUAGUUAUUGCGUUAUGUCAAACCAUAAAGAAAAAACCAGCCACUGUGGACGCUGAUAACUUUUUCAUGUCACCAGAACUAACACAUAUAUUGCGAGAAGAGUACGGUAUCUUUAGUCUUGGUACCAUACGAACGAAUCGUCUAAGGGGCUGCCAAGCCUUAUUACCAACUGAUCACUAAUUUAAAAAAAGAAACGUGGUUCUAGUGCGCAAGUGGUUUGUAAUAAAAAUAAGUUAGCAGUCGUAAAGUGGCAUGACAACAAAGUUGUCACACUAAUCAGUUCAUAUAUAGACUCGCACCCGAUUGAAACUAUGAAACGUUACGACAAAGACGAGAAAAAGAAGAUAGAUGUCGAAUGCCCUCAAAUCGUCAAACAUUAUAACAAACACAUGGGCGGGGUAGAUUUGGCCGAUAUGUUGAUUUCGUUGUAUAGAACCCCCUUCAAAAGUCAUCGAUGGUAUUUGGGAAUAUUUUCGCAGCUUAUUGAUAUGUGUAUCAAUAACAGUAACAGUAAGUAAAUACAUAUUUCUUUUUCAUUUUAUCUUCUUAUAUAGCAUAUUUUAUCCCUUAUGGACUAAUAAAUAGAAAACAAUAGAAAAAUAUACUAAAUUUUGGGUGUUAAUGGGUUAAACAAAGAACGAUUCCGACUUUUAAAUUAACUGAAUUUUUAUUCUAACAAAUUAAAUCAAAAGAAUAGACACACAUAACUUACAACUAGAAAUAGACCACUUAACAGCCAAGUUGCACACAAUGACCAACAAAUACAGUGCAUCAGAAAAACAAAUGAGGGAAUACAUGUUGGCUAUGGAUGAGUUAGUGCGGUCACAGUCACAGGAAAACCCAUGUGAAAAAUGUGAUUCUAGUAAUGUACUGCCUCUUGUACUGUGCCAACGUGUGAUACCGCCUUGCCUCAUGGUGCCAGUUUACUGUUUCCUACCCAAUGUAACAGUAAUAAUAGUUGUAAUAACAGUGUUGUAAUCUUCAGUGAUGAGAUUGGAAAGAACUUAGGUUCUUUAUUGACAAAUAGUUACCCAGGACAAACAAUAAUAAAUCAUUGUAGGCCCGGCUGUAUACUUUUACUAAAAUUUGGAGAAAAUUAUUAAUUACUAUUUUAAUAAAGCUUCUACCCUCAUUAUUAUUUGUGGUGUUAGAUACCUCUAUUACAAAUGUUUAAAUAAAAAUAAUUUCAUAGUUCAAUUACAGAACUUAAAUUAAAGCAGAUAUUGUUGUUUACAUUGCCCUACAGUAAUAGCUUGCCACAGGAAGAAAACAACCUUAGAUAUAAACUUAAUAUUGCAAUGUAUCACUUAUGCAAUAAUUCAAAUAUUAAUAUUAUUGAUACCAACAAUUACGUUGGUUAAAAUGUAUAUAUGACGCAAGAUAGGUAUUAUCUUUCUCGUUUUUAUUUAAGACGAAUAGCAGUGUCGCUAUCAUAUUUUAUUAGAAUAACAGCCAAGAACUUGGCUAAACAGGUUACUCCUAUUGAGCAACCUUCUAAUAUUGACUCAUAUGAUUUAAGAUUAGCGCAUUGUAGUCUGUUGCUACAUUUCAAAAUGUGGAAAAGAUUAUCUUUUUAACGGGAAAAUUCCAGGGGAAUGCUGAGCCCGUGCCAAACAAAAUAUAAAAAGAAGCCGUGCUUCGAAAAUAGUUGAAGGAAAUAAAUGACUAUUUCAAGAAUUUAGAAAAUUCAUAAAACAUUCCUGCCAGUAAUUUUCUUAAUUACUUCUUGCUGCAAAGCAAAAAUCCUUAACCAUUACGUAUAAAUACCUUGAAAAAGGUCACACUCAAAUGAAGUGUGACUCCAUGCAUGCCACAAUUGAAAGAAAGCUUAAAAAUCGUGAGUUUUAUUCACCAGUAUAAUACGUCGAAAUUUGUAAAACUGCUAGACUCACAAAACCGAACAACGUCGAAUACUUGCAGCAUAUUUUCUUCCACAAGUUUAGCUCCAUGCCAUACUUCAACUCCAUUAGACAUGGAAAGAAAACUGGGGAGACAAGAGUGUUUGAUUUGCGCUGUAUCAGUAUCGCAAUGAUGGGACAAUUUAUUCUUAGCCAAUUUAAUAACAACCAUAAUAAAACUCAUUGGAAGCAUGUAAAGCGAAUUUUAAAGUAUUUGCAAAAAACUAAACAUUUUGGUUUAAAAUAUGGAAAAGAUGAUUUAGAUCUGAUAGGUUAUGCAGAUGCAGAUUGGGCAUCAGAUUGUGUUGACCGCAAAUCUUAUACAGGUCUCAUGUAUAAAAUGUCUGGUAGUGUAAUCUCAUUUGAAAGCAGUGAACAAUAGCUCUGUCAAGCACAGAAGCUGAGUAUGUGGCCAUGUGUGAAGCAAUUUACUUAAAGAACUUGUUAUUUGAGUUGAAAUGUAGAAAUUAUUUUGCCUGUAUUGUUAUAUAAUGACAACCAGAUUGCACAAUUGUUAACUAAACAUUCUAUAUUCCAUAAACGAAGCAAGCAUAUAGAUAUUAGAUUAUUUUAUACAAAUUAUGUUAUAACUAGUACGAAGAAUAAAAGUAUGUAUGCGAAUAUGCAAUUUACGUUCCAUGUGCGGCACAUUCGCUUAAUUUAGUGAAUGUUCAAGCUGUUGAAUGUAUUACUGAAGUAGUAGCAUUCUUUCAAUUUGUUCAAAAAUUGUAUAAUUUUUUCUCAGCUUCGACCAAAUGCUGGCAAAUUUUGACAGAGCAUUUAGGUGUAAAUAGUCCUGAAGUCCCUUUCGCAAACCAUAUGCGGACGCACAUGCCAAUGCUACUAAUGCUUUGCAAAAUGGUUAUUUAAAUAUUUCUGAAGCAUUAUCCUUCAUCGCAAAUAACAUCAAUCAACCAGGAGACACUAGAAACGAAACCCAAACCUUAGUAAAAAAAUUGAAAAAUCUUGGCAAAAUGUACGGCAGCAUACAAAGAAAUUGAUAAUAGAUUUAGUUUUCUUAGUCAGUUAACAACAAUCGAAUCUGACGAAUUGACCAAAAAAUGCAAUGAAUUUUAUCAUGAAGACAUUAAUGCAUAUGAGCUCAAAACAGAAUGUUUUCAUUUAAGCCAAUAUUUAAAAAAUAUAGCCAUCAGCGGAUUUAAAUGGCCAUUUCUCCACUAAAUGGAAAAUCACUGUCCCAAACAAAUUUUGUGUAAUAAUUCUUAUUAUAUCUCAGUUUUUAACUUUUAUAAUGACAAAGUUUUAGACAUUCUUGGGCAUGCCACAUUUUUUUUAGCAAUUUAAUCAUUUUAUAUUUUAAUAAACUUUCUUCAUACACCUCAAAACACAGUUGAAGUUGAGGUAGUGGUAGACAACACCACAAUAAGGUUAGAGAAACCUUUAAUACAAAAAGGAUGAAAGAACAUCGUCUAUUAACUGGAAUGCAAACACUUGCUGCAAACCAACAAUCAAUUAAGGCAGAUUUUCGCUUUUGUUACUGUAGGACAGCUGACUAAAUUAACUAAUAACGUAAAUAACAAACCGCAAAUGUUACCUGUACCUGUAACAUCUAGAAACAUUGGUAUUUUGACAUUAUUACAUACACAAUUUACCCUACUAUCAUCAAUCCAACAAAAUGGCUGACUUGUGAGGUGCAAACUUGACAUACUAUUCCUUGCCACUGAGUUACAAAUCCAUCAUUGUGCAGCAAAUGUGCCAGUGUCCGUCAAACUUUGAUGAAUAUAAAGGUGAUUUCAGCAUUUAUUUACCAAUUCUGACUUUCUUUUUCACUGCUAAGACUCAAUGAAUGUUUUCAAACUAAGUUUUAGAAAAAAUUAACAUUCAUAAUACCUAGAUGUUAAAAGGUGUUUGCUCCAUACCAAAUAAUCUGCACAGAGGCGUUUUUGCUUUUAUACUUGGUAUAAAAGAACCCGAAUUACAUAUCCAACAAAAAGAUGGCCUGUUCUACACCUUUUUGCUCAAACAAUCAGGUAGCACCAGCGACUUCAUGAUAGUGCUUCCAAAAGCGACUGGCAACAAUAAGUAGCACAUUGACCAAAACAAAUUGGAUAUAAAAUCCCAGACCAUCAUUGAUACCUUUAUAAUAUAAGUCAAAGAGCAAUCCAAACAUCCUCUACAAAUACUCUAUGUGAAUACUUCUUUUUAAUUAAUACAAUAAAUAAUACAUAAUUUUAUUUCAUAACAGUACUUUACACUUAGAACAAUAUGUUUAGAACCUUAUCGAAUGAGUGUCAAAGACUAGACUUCUUUUGAUACAACAAAAUCUAAACGACAGUACGAGAUAGUACACCCAAGGAUACUCAACAACAAUUACACAAAUAUUUGCCAAGUUCAUAUAUACACAUAAAAUACUAAACACUUAUAACCAAGACCAACCUAAUUCACUUUUCAAAAACAAAAACGAGGACAUUGAUCAAGACUGCAAACGUAGGGUUAUUAGGCACAUGCAUGCCUCUAACAUUCAUGUAUAAAAUAGUGACUGAUAUAAACAUAAAUAACACAUUUCUAUCGACAACCUCUAACUGUUAAUUUUUAUUUGAUAGCAACUAAACACAACGUACACGCUUGACUGAAGGAACCCAAACUGACCGACUACGACUAGCCAACCACUGACAAAAUCGCAAGCAAUUUAAAAAUUUUA